Molecule: ribosomal RNA, 488 nt
Filed under: Vibrio parahaemolyticus
Lineage: Bacteria; Pseudomonadati; Pseudomonadota; Gammaproteobacteria; Vibrionales; Vibrionaceae
Description: bacterial SSU rRNA
Rfam family: Bacterial small subunit ribosomal RNA
Source: RNAcentral
GGUUUGUUAAGUCAGAUGUGAAAGCCCGGGGCUCAACCUCGGAAUUGCAUUUGAAACUGGCAGACUAGAGUACUGUAGAGGGGGGUAGAAUUUCAGGUGUAGCGGUGAAAUGCGUAGAGAUCUGAAGGAAUACCGGUGGCGAAGGCGGCCCCCUGGACAGAUACUGACACUCAGAUGCGAAAGCGUGGGGAGCAAACAGGAUUAGAUACCCUGGUAGUCCACGCCGUAAACGAUGUCUACUUGGAGGUUGUGGCCUUGAGCCGUGGCUUUCGGAGCUAACGCGUUAAGUAGACCGCCUGGGGAGUACGGUCGCAAGAUUAAAACUCAAAUGAAUUGACGGGGGCCCGCACAAGCGGUGGAGCAUGUGGUUUAAUUCGAUGCAACGCGAAGAACCUUACCUACUCUUGACAUCCAGAGAACUUUCCAGAGAUGGAUUGGUGCCUUCGGGAACUCUGAGACAGGUGCUGCAUGGCUGUCGUCAGCUCGUG